This 460-nucleotide ribosomal RNA is filed under the name uncultured bacterium. Its description in RNAcentral is "bacterial SSU rRNA". It matches the Rfam family "Bacterial small subunit ribosomal RNA", at positions 29 to 534 of the family's 1533-position model. The record is from RNAcentral.
AACGAACGCUGGCGGCAUGCCUAACACAUGCAAGUCGAACGAGACCUUCGGGUCUAGUGGCGCACGGGUGCGUAACGCGUGGGAAUCUGCCCUUAGGUUCGGAAUAACUUCGGGAAACUGAAGCUAAUACCGGAUGAUGACGUAAGUCCAAAGAUUUAUCGCCUAAGGAUGAGCCCGCGUUGGAUUAGCUAGUUGGUGAGGUAAAGGCUCACCAAGGCGACGAUCCAUAGCUGGUCUGAGAGGAUGAUCAGCCACACUGGGACUGAGACACGGCCCAGACUCCUACGGGAGGCAGCAGUGGGGAAUAUUGGACAAUGGGCGAAAGCCUGAUCCAGCAAUGCCGCGUGAGUGAUGAAGGCCUUAGGGUUGUAAAGCUCUUUUACCCGGGAUGAUAAUGACAGUACCGGGAGAAUAAGCUCCGGCUAACUCCGUGCCAGCAGCCGCGGUAAUGUGACUACUG